RNAcentral lists this ribosomal RNA (254 nucleotides) under uncultured bacterium. RNAcentral describes it as "partial 16S ribosomal RNA". It matches the Rfam family "Bacterial small subunit ribosomal RNA", at positions 524 to 776 of the family's 1533-position model. The record is from RNAcentral.
UACGUAGGGUGCAAGCGUUGCCCGGAUUUACUGGGCGUAAAGGGCGCGUAGGCGGCCACCGCAAGUCGACUGUGAAAUCUCCGGGCUUAACCCGGAAAGGUCAGCCGAUACUGCGGGGCUAGAGUGCAGAAGGGGCAACUGGAAUUCUCGGUGUAGCGGUGAAAUGCGUAGAUAUCGAGAGGAACACCUGCGGCGAAGGCGGGUUGCUGGGCUGACACUGACGCUGAGGCGCGAAAGCUAGGGGAGCGAACGGG